AUACAGAGGGUGCAAGCGUUAAUCGGAUUUACUGGGCGUAAAGCGCGCGUAGGUGGCUAAUUAAGUCAAAUGUGAAAUCCCCGAGCUUAACUUGGGAAUUGCAUUCGAUACUGGUUAGCUAGAGUAUGGGAGAGGAUGGUAGAAUUCCAGGUGUAGCGGUGAAAUGCGUAGAGAUCUGGAGGAAUACCGAUGGCGAAGGCAGCCAUCUGGCCUAAUACUGACACUGAGGUGCGAAAGCAUGGGGAGCAAACAGGAUUAGAUACCCUGGUAGUCCAUGCCGUAAACGAUGUCUACUAGCCAUUGGGGCCCUUGAGGCUUUAGUGGCGCAGCUAACGCGAUAAGUAGACCGCCUGGGGAGUACGGUCGCAAGACUAAAACUCAAAUGAAUUGACGGGG
Molecule: ribosomal RNA, 396 nt
Filed under: uncultured bacterium
Lineage: Bacteria
Description: partial 16S ribosomal RNA
Rfam family: Bacterial small subunit ribosomal RNA
Source: RNAcentral